Molecule: ribosomal RNA, 253 nt
Filed under: uncultured bacterium
Lineage: Bacteria
Description: partial 16S ribosomal RNA
Rfam family: Bacterial small subunit ribosomal RNA
Source: RNAcentral
UACGUAGGUGGCAAGCGUUGUCCGGAUUUACUGGGCGUAAAGGGCGUGUAGGCGGUCUGUUAAGUCUAGGGUGAAAGCUCCCGGCUCAACUGGGAGAGGUCCUUGGAUACUGGCGGACUUGAGGGAGGUAGAGGAAAGUGGAAUUCCCGGUGUAGUGGUGAUAUGCGUAGAUAUCGAGAGGAACACCUGCGGCGAAGGCGGGUUGCUGGGCUGACACUGACGCUGAAGCGCGAAAGCUAGGGGAGCGAACGGG